UAAUAAGUGUUUUAUGGCACUUUUUAAAUCCAUAUCCACCAUUGUGUGCAAUGUCAGUCGAUCUUCUUCAUGGAGAUCGAGCCAACUAUCAACCUUUAUUUUUUAACUCUUUGUCUGAAAAAUAUUAUGAAUAAACAAUUCAAAAUA
This 147-nucleotide unclassified non-coding RNA is filed under the name soil metagenome. RNAcentral describes it as "partial internal transcribed spacer 1". The record is from RNAcentral.